Molecule: unclassified non-coding RNA, 378 nt
Filed under: soil metagenome
Description: partial contains 5.8S ribosomal RNA, internal transcribed spacer 2, and large subunit ribosomal RNA
Rfam family: 5.8S ribosomal RNA (bases 1-120)
Source: RNAcentral
GAUGAAGAACGUAGCGAAAUGCGAUAAGUAAUGUGAAUUGCAGAAUUCAGUGAGUCAUCGAAUCUUUGAACGCACAUUGCGCCCUUUGGUAUUCCGAAGGGCAUGCCUGUUCGAGCGUCAUUAUCACCCCUCAAGCCCCUUGGCUUGGUGUUGGACGGCUGGCGAUGACCUCCGGGUCGUCGCCCCUCCCAAAGACAAUGACGGCGGCCUCGUUGGACCCCCGGUACACUGAGUUCUUCACGGGACACGUACUGGAUCAAGGGUGCGCGGAGCACGGUCUUAACCAUUUCACCCCUCGCGGGCGGAAUAAUUUUUCUAGGUUGACCUCGGAUCAGGUAGGGAUACCCGCUGAACUUAAGCAUAUCAAUAAGCGGAGGA